RNAcentral lists this ribosomal RNA (492 nucleotides) under uncultured bacterium. RNAcentral's name for it is "bacterial SSU rRNA". It matches the Rfam family "Bacterial small subunit ribosomal RNA", at positions 355 to 864 of the family's 1533-position model. The record is from RNAcentral.
UGGGGAAUAUUGGACAAUGGGCGCAAGCCUGAUCCAGCAAUGCCGCGUGAGUGAAGAAGGUCUUCGGAUUGUAAAGCUCUUUCGACGGGGACGAUGAUGACGGUACCCGUAGAAGAAGCCCCGGCUAACUUCGUGCCAGCAGCCGCGGUAAUACGAAGGGGGCUAGCGUUGCUCGGAAUGACUGGGCGUAAAGGGCGCGUAGGCGGAUGACACAGUCAGGCGUGAAAUUCCCGGGCUCAACCUGGGGGCUGCGCUUGAUACAUGUUGUCUUGAGUUCGGAAGAGGGUCGUGGAAUUCCCAGUGUAGAGGUGAAAUUCGUAGAUAUUGGGAAGAACACCGGUGGCGAAGGCGGCGACCUGGUCCGAUACUGACGCUGAGGCGCGAAAGCGUGGGGAGCAAACAGGAUUAGAUACCCUGGUAGUCCACGCCGUAAACGAUGUGUGCUGGAUGUUGGGCAGCUUAGCUGUUCAGUGUCGUAGCCAACGCGAUAAG